CUAGCUUAGCCACGUACAAAAUUCUCCGUUCCAAUAGAGAGACUUGAAAAGCAAAGCCGAUAGAAACAAUAGGUUGAAUUGAAGACGAUCUCCGCGCUGCAGCAGAAGAGAAAUGUCUGGAAGAGACCGAUAUCACCGAGAGGUUCAAGACCCUUCUUACCAUGAUCGACGUCGUUUUACUCCCGAGAGACCAUUCCUUCGCGCCCCUCCACCUCCAUCACUCUUAGAAGAUCUUCAGAUACAAGAAGCUGAAAUCCGGAGGCUUUUGUCUGAUAACCACAGACUAGCUGACGACCGAGUGCUUCUGGAGAGAGAGCUCGGUGCAGCUAAGGAAGAGCUUCACCGUCUGAACCUGAUGGUCUCUGAUCUCCGUGCCGAACAGGAUCUGCAGGCGAGGGAGUUCAGUGAGAAAAGGCAUAAACUUGAGGGGGAUAUUCGUGCUAUGGAGUCUUACAAGAAGGAGGCUUCUCAGUUGCGCGGAGAAGCUCAGAAGCUGAGUGAGAUAAAGCGUGAAUUAAGUGGAGACGUUCAGAUACUUAGGAAGGAUUUGGUGAAGUUGCAGUCGGAUAACAAGCAGAUUCCGCGUUUGAGAGCUGAGGUUGAGGACCUGCAGAAGGAGCUUAUGCACGCUAGAGGUGCUAUUGACUACGAGAAGAAGGAAAAGUUUGAGCUUAUUGAACAGCGGCAGAUAAUGGAAAAGAACAUGGUUUCUAUGGCGCGUGAAGUUGAAAAGCUACGGGCAGAACUUGCUACUGUUGAUAGUAGGCCGUGGGGUUUUGGUGGAUCAUAUGGGAUGAAUCUCGGCACUAUGGAUGGCGCUUACCGUGGUUCUUAUGGAGAAACCGAUGGUUUUCUGGGAUCUUCGGAAAGGAGUCAAUAUUACAGCCAUGGGUCUGGCUCGCAGAAGAAACCUCGCUUGGAUCGUCACUGAAUCUUAUCAACCAUCCUGGGAAAAGAGAAUGAGGAAACAAAGCUUGAAAAGGACAGACUUCGAGGCCAAUCAUCAUCUACUAGUUGGAAUCGAAAAAGGAACCAAAACGGUCAUAAUAGAAACCAAACCGUAGGCAACAUCUUGGAUCUUUUCCCUCGCACCAACGUCUUGGUAUCAGGAAAAACUCCGUCGCCGAUUUUCUCAACCGCACCAUCUGUCGUCACACUAAUGGGGUACACAACCAAGUGUACACCGUUCAUGUCCACUACCUUCUCACCGCUGUAAAUAUCCCACAUUUGUUCCCCAAUUGUCAGCAACCCUCGGACGCAUUCAAGACUCUCUGGCUCCGAGAAAGAUAACUCAUCCACUGUGAUCUUGCCACCUGUAUGCUCGUACCAGAGCGACAACCGGUUAGGAGUUUAAACCAAACCUAUCAUGAUCUUGGAGUGGACAUAGACCAUGAAUCUCCGGUUCCUCUGUGCGUUCCAGUACUGUGUUUUGGGAUGCGGAGACGAAGCUGCUUCAUACUCUCCUUCUCUCUUCUCUUCUCUGUUUGCGAGACAGAAGAAGUUUAAGUAAUCCCUUGGAUGCGACCCGUCUCCAACUUCCCAUAUCGCCUCUCCUAUGAUCUUAUACAUCAUUGUCAUUGUCUCUCUCGUCCAAUGAAGCAUCUCUUCGACCGUUUCGCUCUCCGGUGGCCCUUCAGGCCACAUUGGUAUCACUAUAUACACGGCAAACCUCUCCUUCUCGCGUAUUUUAGCCGCAAUCUUUAAAGCUAUUUCAACGGGUAUCAAGUUUGUGCAUCCGCUUCCGUUCUUCCCCUCCCAAUGCUCGCAGCCUCCCAUAAAAUACUGAUUCUCAAUGUAUAUAAACCUCUCUGCUUUUCGAAUCGCCGCGACGUAACCGUCGUGUACGCUCCUCUCGACCUGUAAGCCUCUAGGCAUCUCCGUUGCCGACACGUGAUCUAUCGAUCUCAGGACUUGGACAUUCCAGUUCCUGUCAUCUUCUUCAGUGGUUGCACUGUUUACUAAGUUUCUUAUCCCUGAGGUGUUAACCAACACAGAAGGGUUACACUGUUUCGUCCAUCUCUGUUCGAAAUUCUUCAAAACAUCCCAAGCUGCAGCCCCGACCACACACACGUGACAAUCGUGCCACGGCUCUCUUGGUCCGCCUCUGCUUAGCUUAGCUCCAGCAAGGCUUGUUUGAUAAAAAUCAUCGCUUGUCCCGAGUGUACGGAACAGAGAAUGCUCCUCUGUGUCGUAACGACCAUCGCAGAGGUCAAAACCGCCGAGGAAGCUCAUGAUCUCUCGCUCUUUUGUGUUUGUAUUCGUUACACGUGUGUCCACUGUGAUGGUCUUUUGGUGGUGUGCGAAAGCCGUAGGGAGCUUCUUGUGCGAUCUUGGACACAAUCUACAAACAACACUUGUGUCUCUGAAGUAAGAAAGAGCUGUUUGGUCGUUUGUUCGCAUUACACCUUUGUUCUUGAUCAUCGGUAGAGACGACUCGUCGUUCCACACCAUUACUCUCACCGCUACGCCUUCGUGUGCUUUGCGUUUCAGAAGCUCACCGAUCGUUACCCCCACUGCGUGUGGAAUCUCUGUCUCUUCAUCACGUACGAGAACGAGGUUAGGGUUUAAUGCCCAUCCUGCGAUGUAAACUAAAUGCCUAGCGCAAUCAAUCGCUUUAUAAACAUCUUCCCAUAGGUUUCUUGCAUUACAAGGAACAUCAUGAACCCUAGGAUCAAACGUGGCUUUAUGGUGCGCGUCUUGAUACAAUACAACUCUGCAGUUCGAUCGUUGCGGGAAGCUAGCGUUCUUAAUACCUUGAAAAGGCUCUCCUUCGAACGUUUUGCACCAUCCCGGUUCUAGAUAAGCUGGUCUGAACCACAUCAUACACUUGAGCUUCAAGUUAGGUUUCUUAGAUCCGUUAUUUGUAGUCAGAGGAAAACACCCGUUGACAAUGGCUGUAUUAGAAGUCAGAAUCUGUUCAGCAGAGAUUCGGAAUCUUCCGAGAACGGAACAGUGAGUCUUGAGCGUGAUUGUGAUGGUGGUGUCGGAAACAGGAUGUGCGCAGAGGAUCUGAAAUGUCUGGUUCCAGACACGGUCGAGUUCUGAGCUUGUUUUAGCAACUUUCUUCUUGUUUAGCUUAAUGGUCACGUAAGCUGGUCUUGGCUUCGUACAUAUACACUGCGAAUAAGAUAACAAAUAGCUCUUUGACCAAAAAAAAAAAAAAAACAAGAUAACAAAUAGCUCAUGAGACAUUAACACAAUAUUACCGUCAUCUUUAACAACAUAAUACGUACAUGGAAAGGAAAUGUAGGAGAGAAAGGUGUUGCGUCGAAGAUUGUAAUCUCGAGUGUUCCAUGGAAGAACUUCUUCUGUUCCUCAAGCUCCAUUUUUUCCCCCUGUACGAAAAUGAAUCUUUAGGUGUAUGAGAGAAACGUUUCUGCGAUUAUGUGUGUUGAAGCUGGGUCAGUUACAUAAUGCACAAGGAUGCGCCUGGUUUAUUAUAUAUAUGCUUUUGGCUUUUGGUUAAACUUGGAGGAUUCUCGAAGGACAAUCUUAAAGAAAACAUUCAACAACAUAUUUUAUGUGUAUUAAUUUGAAGGUUGAAGUGUCUUGGAAUACAAAUCAAGCAUUCGGCUUUGGUUUA
Brassica napus (rape) is the source of this 3583-nucleotide RNA transcript. It is a transcript of the gene named protein FLX-like 3, with no coding region annotated. The transcript has 8 exons. The record is from RefSeq and is a predicted model, not a curated record. Lineage: Eukaryota; Viridiplantae; Streptophyta; Magnoliopsida; Brassicales; Brassicaceae.